GGAUGAACGCUGGCGGCGUGCCUAAUCCAUGCAAGUCGAGCGAACAGACGAGGAGCUUGCUCCUCUGACGUUAGCGGCGGACGGGUGAGUAACACGUGGAUAACCUACCUAUAAGACUGGGAUAACUUCGGGAAACCGGAGCUAAUACCGGAUAAUAUAUUGAACCGCAUGGUUCAAUAGUGAAAGACGGUUUUGCUGUCACUUAUAGAUGGAUCCGCGCCGCAUUAGCUAGUUGGUAAGGUAACGGCUUACCAAGGCGACGAUGCGUAGCCGACCUGAGAGGGGGAUCGGCCACACUGGAACUGAGACACGGUCAAGACUCCUACGGGAGGCAGCAGUAGGGAAUCUUCCGCAAUGGGCGAAAGCCUGACGGAGCAACGCCGCGUGAGUGAUGAAGGUCUUCGGAUCGUAAAACUCUGUUAUUAGGGAAGAACAAAUGUGUAAGUAACUAUGCACGUCUUGACGGUACCUAAUCAGAAAGCCACGGCUAACUACGUG
RNAcentral lists this ribosomal RNA (498 nucleotides) under uncultured bacterium. RNAcentral's name for it is "partial 16S ribosomal RNA". It matches the Rfam family "Bacterial small subunit ribosomal RNA", at positions 27 to 507 of the family's 1533-position model. The record is from RNAcentral.